GACGAACGCUGGCGGCGUGCUUAACACAUGCAAGUCGAACGGUGAAGGGAUCAGCUUGCUGGUUCUGGAUGAGUGGCGAACGGGUGAGUAACACGUGAGUAACCUGCCCCCUUCUUCUGGAUAACCGCAUGAAAGUGUGGCUAAUACGGGAUAUUCUGCGCCUGCUGCAUGGUGGGUGUGGGAAAGAUAUUGUUUCGGUGGGGGAUGGGCUCGCUGCCUAUCAGCUUGUUGGUGGGGUGAUGGCCUACCUAGGCGGUGACGGGUAGCCGGCCUGAGAGGGUGGACGGUGACACUGGGACUGAGACACGGCGCAGAGUCCUACGGGAGGCAGCAGUGGGGAAUAUUGCACAAUGGGCGAAAGCCUGAUGCAGCGACGCCGCGUGAGGGAUGGAGGCCUUCGGGUUGUGAACCUCUUUCGCCAGUGAAGCAGGCCUGUGCCUUGUGGGUGGGUUGACGGUAGCUGGAUAAGAAGCGCCGGCUAACUACGUG
Molecule: ribosomal RNA, 489 nt
Filed under: uncultured bacterium
Lineage: Bacteria
Description: partial 16S ribosomal RNA
Rfam family: Bacterial small subunit ribosomal RNA
Source: RNAcentral